GCAUGCGCAGUCACGCUCCCCUGGAAAGCGGACGUCUUUAUUGCGUCCGGUAUAUGUCACAAUCCGGGGUUUGAAAACACACCAUGACAUCGACACGAUACAUCACAAAUAGAACGUUUCAACGGACCACGUCGAGUAAAAAUGUUGUGUGGCUCGGUGGAUGGAGGCAGUGCGGCGCAUUUGGCUCCAGGUGGCAGUAAGAGAUCAGACCCCUCUCACAGUGGCAUUGUUGAGCAACGUCACCAUCUUCCUCGGUCUCAUUCAGACAGCCGUGAUGCAAAGCAUUUGACAACCCAGUGAACAGAAGAGGUUUCAAUUUGUUUAAUGCCAUUGCCAGUUACAAAAGUUUACAGUCAAAACUAACCGUGAAACAAAGAUAAUUACACAUAUUUUACUUAAAAACAACCACAUGACUUUGCGUUAAAUCCAUUAUCUCAAUGCUAAGCCUUCAUGGGGUGAAACAGGAUUAGAUGAGCUACCGAAUAGCUAUGUGGCAACGUUACAACACUUCAAGCAAUGUUUUUUUUUUUGAAACGCCAACGGUGAAGCAACACAUGCAGACAGACAAUAUAACAAUAUUCCCAGGCAAAUAUUCUCUUAAUCCUCUGUGACAAUAACUUGCAUCUGAUUGUUUUUACACUGGCACCCGAUAGUCAAUACCAAAAGGAGCCACACUCUUUAUCGAAACAUGGAACGAGUUAAACUCGCAUCUUGCUGGAUACUCAUUUUCUUGUUGACACAAUUGGCCCUAUUCCACAUUUGGAUAUCUGGUCAAAGGGCUGAGAUCCACCGCAAAUUGAAUUUGCUGGGGAGGAACGGCAAUUAAAUACCCAAGCAUUGAAAAAACAAGCGAUUGAAGCAAGUAAACAAGCAAUCAGUGAUGGAAAGGAAAGCGAAUAGAGGAAUCGGAGAGAAAAAUGAAAAAGCAAAAUCAAGCUGGAUCUCGCCCCUGCUUGCAGCCCCCCCCCGGCAUCUAAGUCGAUUAUCCAGAAUCUUGAUCAAGCCGAGCGGGAGGAAGUAUCAUGUACUCCAGUGCUCCAUCCAUAAUAAAUGAGCCAGCAUUCAAUUAAAAUCCCUCUAUUCAUCUCCAACUACGAUAAAAACUUAUUAGUAUGGUCUCGAGGCCUCUGUCUGACACCGCGAGCCAGCCUUAAUCAUCCUGCAUGUCUGGGAUGCAGUUGGCGCUCGGCGCUCUUUAAUUGCCUCAAAGUUCAGACGCCCUUUUGAGAGACAUGACUCGAAGAUUUAAAGAGACGAACGCAAUGAGGAGAAUGCGCAGACGGCUGAUGGUGGGAACUUGUGCCAGCAGCAACUUUUUAAAGCCUCUUUUUUUUUUUUUUUAAAUCGACUUUAUAUGAAGCCCUUAAACGCUUUGAAUAAAUCAUAUUGUCUCUGCAAACACUGAAAGUGGACAUGUGUGAAUUUAUGAUGCAGGCACAAUCAGCCCGCUUGGCAGGACCAUAAAAUAGAAAGGCAUACAUAUUUUAACACAUUUGGUGAAACAGAACACUAGUUUUAGUAGAUAGCUGUUAAAAAAAAAAAAAAAAAAACACACACAACAGGGCUGAGCUGUAAAAAGGUGACCACAAUUAUAUGCAUGCUUACAAAAUAAGUUAAGUAUUGUUGUAAUUCACGUCUAUGUGUUGGGGAAGGGGGAGUGUGUUUUUUUUUUUUUAUUGUUUUUUUUUUUAAAGCAGCUGCCUUGACUGCCUAUACUUCCGUGCAUUUUAGCUGCUGAGAUGACACACUUCACUCUUUCAAACACAGGUUGGGGUCCAUAGUGUAUGUAACUAUGAAUUUUGUUAAGUAUUGUUUUAAAUCGGGCGAGUGCCGGUUCUGACAGGGCCACCACUUAAAAAGGUUUAAUGACGGACCCUGUUCAGCUGCAACUGCUGUCCGAAACUAGUGCGACCACAAAACCUUUAGGCUUUGGGUAGGAAGCAAAUGAAAUAUCAGGAAAAGCCUACUAGAACAGCCGAAAUUCAUUUGGGGUUAAUCGGCGGCACGUUCAAUGAUGUCAGGUUUGUGCUCAUUUCACAUAAUUUGAAUGUGAUUGGUUAACUAUGAAUGGAGUCCCAUUCGCUAGUUAUGCUCUUUAUUUUUGUUUUACUUCCUCUCUUGAAAAGACUAACCCAAAAAUUGAAUUGAGUUAUCACGGUGGAGCAAAAUUUGAAAGGAUUAAUCUUCACAUUAAUCAUAUUUUUUUACAUCACAAAAAAACAAGUGUUUUGAAAACGGGGUGGGGGUGUGUAGACUUUUGAUAUCGAUUGUAUGUUAGUCAUCCCUUUUGACAUGUGCUACCUUGGCCCAAAAGAUGUUUCCCAUGUCAACAUAUUAAUAGCACGCGUGAGCUUCACAUACCAGGGUGAAGUCGAGCUUCUGUUACGCAAUUUUUCUCAUCCCGCAUUGUUCAUGGGAAGUCCAGCUGAGAGACAUUGAUUCAGCACAGAUGACCGUUUGCGGUGACUAAUAGCGGUCAUAUUUUUAAGUCUCGCAGAUUGAGUCCAAACAUGCGCACCACAGGAAUCUCAAACAAUAAAUUUCCACGGCGCAAGUCAUGGGAAUCUCGACUGAGCGGCGCUUUUUCCACAUCUCUUCGAGUUCACGGCGUAGUAAAUGUCAAUUGGUUUGAAAUGUGCCAUACAAGC
Hippocampus comes (tiger tail seahorse) is the source of this 2648-nucleotide long non-coding RNA. RefSeq lists it as uncharacterized. The record is from RefSeq and is a predicted model, not a curated record. The transcript is spliced from 2 exons. NCBI's taxonomy places the organism in Eukaryota, Metazoa, Chordata, Actinopteri, Syngnathiformes, Syngnathidae.